ACACAAGUAACCUUAGGCGAUGGUAGAUUCAUGGUGUUCGGCGGUCGAGAUUUCCCAACAUACGAAUUUGUUCCUCUACAAGGCCAGAAAAACACCCUUAAGGAUGUGGUCGAUUUUAAUUUCUUGGUGGAAACACACGAUCCCGUGGAAAAUAAUUUGUACCCUUUCGUUUACCUUUCGACUGAUGGAAAUGUCUUCAUCUUCGCUAACAAUCGUUCGGUUCUUUUGAACCCUAACACCCAAACGAUCAUCCACGAGUUCCCAGUGCUCCCCAAUGGUGCUCGUAAUUAUCCUGCGUCAGGAAGUGCUUGCCUCCUUCCGAUCAUGCUCAAGCCUAAUGAAGAUCGUAGAGUGAUCCCCGCCGAGGUUUUGAUAUGCGGUGGUGCAUCACAUGAUGCGUACGCCAAGGCCGAUUUGCAGCGUCCUAAAGUGUUUUUGCCAGGGAACACCGACUGUGCUCGCCUUGAUAUCACCAAAAGGAAUGGCAAAUGGAAGAUCAUAAACAUGCCAUCAGCUCGUCUAUUGGGAGACAUGGCCGUUUUACCAACAGGAGAUGUGCUUAUUGUUAACGGUGCCAAGACUGGUUCAGCUGGUUGGGAUGAUGCUAGGGAGCCGAAUUUGAACCCUGUUUUGUACAAAUAUCAAACCGAUGGAACUGGUUCCAAAUUCACUGUGCUUAACCCAUCCAACAUCCCCCGCAUGUACCACUCCUCGUUCGCCCUCCUUCCCGACGCAAAAAUCCUCAUCGCCGGAAGCAACACAAACCCUGGUUACCUCGAUGAUGCAUUGUUCCCCACUGAAGUCCGGGUUGAGAAAUUCUCACCACAUUACUUGGACCCAAACUUGGCCAUGUUCCGACAAGAUAUCAUUGUUGACAAGUCCAAUAACCAAGUGAAGUACGGCAAAAAAUUCACAGUACAAAUCCGUGGAAAUGGCGAAAUUGACCAACAAAAGCUUCAAGUGACGAUUUACUCACCUCCGUUUGUGACCCAUGGGAUCUCCAUGAAUCAGAGAUUGAUUCAAUUGGGAAUUGUGGAAUUUAACAAAAAUGUUACCUCAAAUACAAACAACAUUAUUCUUCAAGCUCCCAUGAAUGGCAACAUUGCGCCACCUGGUUAUUACAUGCUCUUCGUAAACUACAAUGGGGUGCCUUGCCGCCAAUCGAUGUGGGUUCAAUUUUUGCCAUAGAUAUUUCACUGGAAGCAUUGAAUCGCAAAGCCGUUAUAUGAAAUUAUUAUAUUCUCUUAUAAAGAAAAAUUAAUGAAUCACUUUGUUCACGUUUUGUUGCACACAUUAUUCUUUUAAAGAUCAUAUACAAUACAAAAUGUGGACUAUUGGAUUUAUUUAUUUGCAAUUUCUUUUCUCCACUGAUUAGAUUUUUAUUAUAUAUAUUUAGAUUUUUUAUUCAAAAUUAAAUUUAUUUAAAAGUUUAAUAUCUAAAAUUGACUAAUGGAAAAAGAAAUAUUACAUGAUUUGUUUAUUUUCAAGAUUAAAUAGAAAUUCAUUUUGUAAAAUUAUAUAUAAAAAAAAAACAAAUCUUGAAUUUGAUUUUUUUCAUUAAAAGUUCUUACUGUUAGUGGUGUUCGCGAUUCUCUAGUGGAUUGCCUCGCAUUAAUACCUACAACUUCUCCCAAUUCAACUAGGUCACCAUGAGUGGGGCUUCGACAAUAUCAUAAUAGUGAUAUGUCUAAAUUGCAAGUUGAUAUGACAUUACUAGUAAUAAUAUGUUUGUAAUAUGAUAUUUUGGAAAUAUUAGAAUUGAACUUAAUUAAUUUAUCAUUUACUGUUUGAUCAUGAUUAAAAUUUUAAAAUUCACAAAGCAUAAGACUAAAAUUAAGGUGUGGGACUAAAUCCAUAAUUUAAAUAUAAUAUAGGGAUUAAUAGCAAAAUUUAACCUUUUAUUAACUAAUCUUCUUGUAAACACGGAGUGCUAAUAAAAAAAACCCAAAAUAUUUUUAUUAAGGUCAAAUUCUACUAAAUACUAUAUCGAUAUGAAAAGUUCAUAAUCUUAGUUGCGUCCCCAAUUCUCCAAUAGAUUGCCCCACAAUAAUACCUACAACUUCUCCCAAUUCAAUUACGUCAUUGUGAGUGGGGCUCUGACCAUAACAUAAUAGUGAUAUGUGAAAAUAGCAAGUUGAUAUAACAUUAUACAUAAUAAUAUGUUAGUAGCAUCAUGUUUUGGAAAUAAUAGAAUUGACCUUAAUGAAUUUAACAUUUAUUCUUUGAUCAUGAUUAAAAUUUUAAAAUUCAUAAAGCAUAUGACUAAAAUUAGAGUGUGGGGACUAAAUCCAUAAUUUAAACAUAAUAUAGGGACUGAUAGUAAAAUUUAACAUUUUAUUAACUAACCUUCUUGUAAACAAGGAGAGCUAAUAAAAAAAACCCAAAAUAAUUUUAUUAAGGUCAAAUUCUACUAAAUACUCUGCCAGUAUGAAAAGUUCCUAAUGUUAGUAGCGUUCCCGAUUCUCCAAUGGAUUGGCCCACAGUAAUACCUACAACUUCUCCCAAUUCAACUAGAUCACCUUGAGUGGGGCUCUGACCAUAACAUAAUACUGAUAUGUGAAUAUAACAAGUUGAUAUAACAUUACAUAUAAUAAUAUGUUAGUAGUAUCAUAUUUUGGAAAUAAUAGAAUUGAACUUAAUGAAUUUAACAUUUUUUUGUUUGAUCAUGAUUAAAAUUUUAAAAUUCACAAAGUAUAUGACGUACUAAAAUUAAAGUGUGAGGACUAAAUCUAUAAUUUAAACAUAGUAUAGGGACUGAUAAUAAAAUUGAACCUUUUAUUAACUAAUCUUCCUCUAAACAAGGAACUCUAUUAGAAAAAACCCAAAAUAUUUUUGUUAAGGUCAAAUUCUACUAUUUGUUCAUUAAAUCCAUUAACUAACUUUUUCAUGAGUGAAAUAUCAAGUUAAUAUAGCAAUACAAAUAUGAUAUAAUAUUUUGGAAAUAAAAAAAAUUAACUAAAUGAAUUUAAUAGUUACAGUUUAGUCAAGAUUAAAAUUUUAAAAAUGAAAAAGUACAGGGACUAAAAAUGAUCAAAUUAAAGUACAAGAGCUAAAUUCAUUAUUUACACAUAAUAUAGGGACUAAUAGCAAAAUUUAACCUUUUUAUUAACUAAACUUCCUCUAAACAAGGAACAAUAAAGGGACUAACAACAAAAUAUUUAACAUUUUACUAACUAAUCUUCCUUUAAACAAAGAGCAAUCACUAAUUUUCCCUAAAUUUCAUGCACUUCGAAUCGGGAAAAUGCAUAUAAAAGGAGAUGGAACCCAUUGUGAAAAAACCAAGCAGUAGAUCCAUAUAAUAAAAAAAGUUAGGUUAUAAGUUAUAUAGUUAAAUAAUAAAAUGAUGGCGUCGUUGUUUUGGAGAGGUCUUAUUAUAUUACCUCUCCUUUUUGUAUAUGUCAACGGCGAGCAUUUUUUGUACCCUAAACGUCAUGUUGGCAAAGCCGAGUUAGCCGGUUACAAGGGGCCAGACUCACUGGCCGUUGAUGGUGGUGGUUUUUAUAGUGGUCCCUUGAUUGCCGAUGACGAUGGAUCUGCUGCUGGCGGUAAUGCUGGUGGAACUACUGAGGUGAAGGUUGAAAACCUUGGAAAGGUCGACGGUGAUAAUACUAAUGGCAAUGCAAAUAGUGUCGAAUCAACUCAAGUUGCUGCCAAAAAUGGAAUUAGCAACGGAAAUAUUGUGGAGGCUAAAACUACGUUUAAAGGGAGUUGGGAAGUAUUUGUUGAGAACGCCGGUGUUUCCGCCAUGCAUUUGAUAUUGCUUCCUAAGAUCAACCAAGCUUUGAUGUUCGAUGCCACAGUGUGGAAAAUCUCAAAGAUGAAAUUACCGGGACCGCCGUGCCGACGUAUCGAGGGAACCAAUGAAGAAGAUUGCUAUGUUCAUUCGAUUCUUAUGGACGUUGAAACAGGAAAGAUUAGGCCACUUAGGGUACGUUUUUCUAAUUUUAUUUUGUUUAGUUAUUAUUAGAUGGACGGAGCCUCAAAGAGGAAAAAAAACACAAUUUUUUAUUUGCAAAACUCGAAAAUAAUUUGCUUUAAAAAGACAUUAAACUAGUUACAAUUUCUUACAAUUUUAUGUUUUUUUAACAUUUUCAUUUUCUUUGUUAUAGUUGAACUAUGACACUUGGUGUUCAUCGGGUGCCCUUGAUAUCAAUGGUCGAUUGGUAAGUACUGGCGGUUAUAACAAUGGCUCUGACACCGUGAGAAUCCUUGACUUAUGCGAUACUUGUGGGUGGGAAGAAUAUCCUGGUGCACUUGGAAAUGGAAGAUGGUAAGAACCCUAAACUUAUUACAUUUUUCAUUUUUUUAAUGAUUAAAAGCUUGAAUUUGAGUAUUUUGGUUUUUUUUUUAAAGGUACGCAACCCAAGUAACCUUAGGCGAUGGUAGAUUCAUGGUGUUCGGCGGUCGAGAUUUCCCAACAUACGAAUUUGUUCCUCCACAAGGCCAGAAAAACACCCUUAAAGAUGUAGUCGAUUUUAAUUUAUUGGUGGAAACACACGAUCCCGUGGAGAACAAUUUGUACCCUUUCGUUUACCUUUCGACUGAUGGAAAUGUCUUCAUCUUCGCUAACAAUCGUUCGGUUCUUUUGAACCCUAACACCCAAACGAUCAUCCACGAGUUCCCAGUGCUCCCCAAUGGUGCUCGUAAUUAUCCUGCGUCAGGAAGUGCUUGCCUCCUUCCGAUCAUGCUCAAGCCUAAUGAAGAU
This 4705-nucleotide long non-coding RNA is filed under the name Gossypium barbadense (sea-island cotton). Its description in RNAcentral is "long non-coding RNA (GBAR_LNC007813)". Lineage: Eukaryota; Viridiplantae; Streptophyta; Magnoliopsida; Malvales; Malvaceae. The record is from RNAcentral.